Oncorhynchus kisutch (coho salmon) is the source of this 859-nucleotide long non-coding RNA. RefSeq lists it as uncharacterized. The record is from RefSeq and is a predicted model, not a curated record. NCBI's taxonomy places the organism in Eukaryota, Metazoa, Chordata, Actinopteri, Salmoniformes, Salmonidae. The transcript has 3 exons.
CAGCAUUGUAUCUGAAUUUAAACCUGCUCACAAUAACUACGUUGCCAGCAUUUAUCUUUGCUACCAGUAUUACCAUAACAACACCUUGUUAAAGAAGAAGAAGGAAGGAAGGUUGGGUUGCUAGCAUAUAUCUGUGCUACCAGUAUUACCAUAACAACACAUUGUUAAAGAAGAAGAAGAAGAAGGAAGGAAGGUUGGGUUGCUAGCAUAUAUCUGUGCUACCAGUAGACAAUUACCAUAACAACACAUUGUUAAAGAAGAAGAAGAAGAAGAAGAAGAAGAAGAAGAAGAAGAAGAAGAAGGAAGGAAGGAGGGAAGGGAGGAAGGAAUAUUGGGUUGCUAGGCAACUAAAGACAAGCCUCCUCGUCAUCAUCUCUUGGAUCUGUGAGUUUUGCCCCGUUCAGCUGUCGCCUGUGGACAUCCUCUCUGCAGCAUAAUGUCUUGUGCAGCCUACUUAGAUGGCAACGCAACGCCAAAGUCCAUGAGCAGAGCCAAACAAUGGACUGACGAGGUGGAGAACUUAUACAGAUUCCAACAGGCAGGCUACAGAGAUGAACUGGAAUACAAACAAGUAAAGCAAGUUGACUUGAUCGACAGGUGGCCUGAGACUGGGUUUGUGAAAAAGCUUCAGCGUCGAGACAACACAUUCUAUUACUACAACAGAAAAAGAGAAUGUGAAGACCGGGAAGUCCAUAAAGUGAAGGUCUAUGCAUAUUAAGUCAGGAGUGUCCAGCAAUCUCUUUUCCAUUUUGAAUAUCUUUUGACAUGUUUUUGAAGAAGACGUUUGUAGGAAGGAAGGCAGCACCAUCCCAACUGUGGAAUGUUGACCAGUUCACUGAAUAAAGGGUGUGAGGCUAAA